GACAGCACGUUACACACACACACACACACACACACACACACACACACACACACACACACACACACACACACACACACACUCUCACUCACUCACUCACUCACUCAUUCCUUGACUGCGAGGCACCAGAGCUGUCUGCUGGGAGCUCAGGUUACUGCCAACCGGCGGGACAGACUUUAUGGAAGCCUGUCUCCCACACCCACUCGACCCGUCCACAAGGCUCCGGAGGAGGUAUCGGGUUGCCAGUUCAGCGCCGGACAGGCUUUACACUGGCGGCAGCUUGUGAUCUUGGGUGGCUGUGUGUGUGUGCGUUUCAUCUCCCACACUUUGAGGGUAGAGGCGGCACACAAAGCUGCCGUCUCCUCCAGGUCAAAAGACAUCUUUGCCUUCCAUGCUUCCCGGACUGCCUCUUCGAUCCUCGACCCCCGCUUUGACAAGGACCUCCUACACCUCACCAUUCGCUUUGACAAUCUGCCUGCCCCCACGAACUGCCUUCAUGUCUUGUCCCUCCUCUCGAUCCAACACUAGUCUACAGAUAUCUCUUAUCCAAGAUGGCGGCCAGGAGGCGGAGCAUGCAGCGGAGUGGAGAGGCGGGGCACGCUUGGAGCGACACUGCAGCCAUCAAAGUCAGGUGCGUAAACGACACACCUGCUCUCAAUCCUUGCAUCUUCUGCUGCAGCAUAAAAGGGGAGAAGGAGGAGCAAUCGUGGCAGAAGUAGGAGAGGAAACGAUGGACAACAAAGACGACGAAGACGACGGGAACGACCCAGAGGAAGAUAAACCCCCGCGGAAGACGCAGCCACCGGUCACCGAAAGGCGCGCCGAGACGAGCAGGAAAGGAGGUCGGGCUAGAGAUUGGCACGGCCGACUGGAACCAAAACAUGUUUAUUUAAACAAUAAACAAUAGUCAAACCUG
Long non-coding RNA from Nerophis ophidion (straightnose pipefish), 913 nucleotides. RefSeq lists it as uncharacterized. NCBI's taxonomy places the organism in Eukaryota, Metazoa, Chordata, Actinopteri, Syngnathiformes, Syngnathidae. The transcript is spliced from 3 exons. The record is from RefSeq and is a predicted model, not a curated record.